GCACUUUCGCCAGGGAUGAUAAUGACGGUACCUGGUAAAGAAACCCCGGCUAACUCCGUGCCAGCAGCCGCGGUAAUACGGAGGGGGUUAGCGUUGUUCGGAAUUACUGGGCGUAAAGCGUACGUAGGCGGAUUGGAAAGUUGGGGGUGAAAUCCCAGGGCUCAACCCUGGAACUGCCUCCAAAACUAUCAAUCUAGAGUUCGAGAGAGGUGAGUGGAAUUCCAAGUGUAGAGGUGAAAUUCGUAGAUAUUUGGAGGAACACCAGUGGCGAAGGCGGCUCACUGGCUCGAUACUGACGCUGAGGUACGAAAGUGUGGGGAGCAAACAGGAUUAGAUACCCUGGUAGUCCACACCGUAAACGAUGAAUGCCAGUCGUCGGGCAGUAUACUGUUCGGUGACACACCUAACGGAUUAAGCAUUCCGCCUGGGGAGUACGGUCGCAAGAUUAAAA
RNAcentral lists this ribosomal RNA (451 nucleotides) under uncultured bacterium. Its description in RNAcentral is "bacterial SSU rRNA". It matches the Rfam family "Bacterial small subunit ribosomal RNA", at positions 430 to 899 of the family's 1533-position model. The record is from RNAcentral.